Molecule: long non-coding RNA, 1424 nt
Filed under: Physcomitrium patens
Lineage: Eukaryota; Viridiplantae; Streptophyta; Bryopsida; Funariales; Funariaceae
Description: long non-coding RNA (PPAT_LNC000789)
Source: RNAcentral
ACGGUGCUUUGGCCGAGAUUGUCAAUGAUUACUCCUCUGUCUUGAAGAAGUUGGACUCGGAGGAAGUUGACAGCGCUGAUGCCAGCGCAUUCGCGUCCACUGGAGCCUUGUCGACGUGGUUUGAUUGCUUCAAGGAUGACAUCUGCACAGUGACAAAAUCCACGCCGAAGGAAUCUGCGCUUUUGGUACCGAAAUUGUCUCCUGCGGACGGUCCUCAGGACGCUGCUGGCGUACUCCAGUCUGUGCCGAAAAGCAGGAAGUCUCGUAAAUCAGUUGCUGGAGAGCAGGGCCAUGCCCAGCAUGACUCCGAGAUGGAUGAUGUGGCGCCUGCCCUUAUUGAUGAGAAGAGAAAAAGAAGGUGUGUUUUUCAUAAACGUUUACGUUCCCCGGCCUUCUUUUUUAGUCCUAGCGAUGAGCCAGGAGUUGAGAUCUUUUUCGAUGCUAUGGGUGCAGGAUGUCCUCGAACCGUGCAUCGGCACAACGAUCUCGGCAAAGGAAACAGGAGCGUUUGGACGAACUCGAAAUUUUGGUACGCUGACGCUUUGAAGCCUGUUCAUGUCACGUCGAUUGGUGAUUGCUUGUCAUCCUCAGAUUGGAGCAUAGAUUGCUUAAACCAGUCUGUCAAGGGAAAACUGUGGAAUUACGAAACUGUUUCUUUGUGAUGUUUUGUGAGGCGGCCUAUCGACUAUUUCAAACAUUUUAUUUUAAAUUUUUUUAUUUGUUUAUUUUUGUUUGUUUUCUCUUUUUGUGCAGACUGCUCAGUUGCGGCUGGAGAACGCAACUCUUUCUCGCAGGUCACAGUUGGCUGAACAGCGCGCCAAAAUAUUUCAAGGAGAGAGGAACAACCUGGCGAAGAUGGUUGACGGAUUGCGAAAAGAGCUGGAUGCGAUCCGACAACAGAAUGUGCAAGGCUCGCCCGAUUGUGGAACUGAAAGCUUCACAAGUGGAAAUCACACCUCUGGUCUUUGUAAUAUGGUAAGUAGCUUCAUCUGCUGCAGUAUUCACCUAGUUUUGUUUGGUUUUUUUCAAAGAGGUUUAUUCACUUCGAAGUUGAACAUCAGGCUUAGGAAAGCGUUACCGUAUGCAAACAUCUACUCACCUAAGCAAGUUGUGGCCUUGACGCUGUGGACUAAAGAUACCAUCUUUUAUAAUUCAGGUCGGAGGAGGCGAAGCUUCUCAAGUCGCAGAUGUGAAGCUUGAAACAUCAUCCAAGGGCGACCUCAAGAACGUGUAUGGAAAUUUCGAUGCCAUGAAGCGCAACAUCUCCAGCUCCGACCUGUCCCGAGGCAUCUAUGGGGAUCUGUAUUCUGUGUUGGAUUCCAUCCAAUUUGACGUUGGUAUUGGUGCCGAAGUGCCGGAUCUCCUGAAAGAGGAGUGGUAUGGGUCAUUCACGGAGUGUUUGAAUGCGUGAUCUCGGCUGCUUC